This 465-nucleotide ribosomal RNA is filed under the name uncultured bacterium. RNAcentral describes it as "partial 16S ribosomal RNA". It matches the Rfam family "Bacterial small subunit ribosomal RNA", at positions 28 to 507 of the family's 1533-position model. The record is from RNAcentral.
GACGAACGCUGGCGGCGUGCUUAACACAUGCAAGUCGAACGGAAAGGCCCCUUCGGGGGUACUCGAGUGGCGAACGGGUGAGUAACACGUGAGUAACCUGCCCUUGACUUCGGGAUAACUUCAGGAAACUGGGGCUAAUACCGGAUAGGAAUCCUUGCUGCAUGGUGGGGGUUGGAAAGCUUCGGCGGUUUUGGAUGGACUCGCGGCUUAUCAGCUUGUUGGUGGGGUAGUGGCUUACCAAGGCUUUGACGGGUAGCCGGCCUGAGAGGGCGACCGGCCACAUUGGGACUGAGAUACGGCCCAGACUCCUACGGGAGGCAGCAGUGGGGAAGAUUGCACAAUGGGCGGAAGCCUGAUGCAGCAACGCCGCGUGCGGGAGGACGGCCUUCGGGUUGUAAACCGCUUUCAGCAGGGGCGAAGCUUGUGGUGACGGUACCUGCAGAAGAAGCACCGGCUAACUACGUG